Molecule: long non-coding RNA, 1361 nt
Filed under: Homo sapiens (human)
Lineage: Eukaryota; Metazoa; Chordata; Mammalia; Primates; Hominidae
Description: long intergenic non-protein coding RNA 2405
Source: RNAcentral
GUUAAAUGGCCAGCAGGAAUUAUCCACUAGAGAAGCGGAAGGGAGAGAAUGGAAAUGGCCGCAUGCAGCUCCUCUCCCUCAGACAGCUCGGGGCUCAGCGGAAUGAGCACAGUCUGCAGGACAAGUGCGGAGGACUUCAGUCCCCUCUACUGUAUAUUGGCUUUAGGACUCAAGUUGUCCCUGAAAUAGAGGAAGGUGUUUUCUAGGGUAGUGGUAAUUAUCACAGUCAAAAAAGUAGGCGAGAGCACUUAGGAAAACUGUGCGGAGAUCGGCUGCUGAUGUGUAAAUACUGCUGAAGCUGCUUAUUCAAGAUUAGAAAACCUGAGACCCAGACGGGGGAAACUGCUUUCCAUGGUUAAUCGUCAACAACUGGCCAGGAUGGGACAGAAGCCCAUACAUAGCCUUCAUUCCAGGGCUCAGAACAAAAAGAAGGCAGUGGCCUGGGCUGCACCUGAGCUUGGCUUCACAUAGGAGGGAUUCUGGAACGCAGGAUCCUGACAACGACCUCAAGCCCCUGUAAAGCAACACAUUUUUUGGCAAGAAUCCCUGGGACAGAGAAAGAAUUUCUUCUCACUUAUUAUUGAGAAUGUUCUCAUGUCUUGCAAGGCUCACUGCCCAGUAGAAGCUGAAAAGAUUCAGUAUGAGUAAAAGAAGAGAUCUGAAAUUUGCAGCUUGUCAUAGAAAGAACUGAGACUACCAUACACCUAAGAAGUCAAAGUUGCUAUUCAAGGGGAAGUGCAAACACAAGAUGAGGGAAACUGAUGUAUUUAGUGUCUACAUUUUACAAAUGGAUGCUUUUCAUAAUAUGAAAAUACUGCACCAUAAGAUUGCCAGUCACAACAGCACGGCUACAGUGAAAAUUGUCAGUCUUUUUUUUUUCCAGGAUCCCAGUGGAUUUGUUACGGUGAGAAAGCUUCACUUGGAGACAAAGCCAAAACCUUCCUCCCAGGCUCCCUUGGAUGUAGGGGGAAGCAAACUGGCUGUCCAGGCCUCUGAGCCACAUCUACACACCUCAUGAGAGGGCCUGUGCAACAUUGCCUUAGAGAUGGAGAGCAUUGCUUCAGAAUCAGGGAAGCCUAAAUUUCACCCCUGGGGCUGCCCCUUGUGAUCUUGAAUGGCUCCUGACAAGAGGCUGCUGGGGAGGCUCCUGCUCCCUGCCUUUCGGGACUGCCGUGGAUUGCCCAUUGAUGGGUCAAAAUCCAGCUACCUGGUAAUUCAAUGAGUCCCUAGUGUGCAUCCAAUAAAUUAUCUUCUGUUUAAAUUAGAACAAACUGUUUUUAAUCUGUGUGCUAAGAAUCUCAUUAAAUGCAUCAUAAAUUUCAAAAUCAAAAACUAAAUAAAACAUUUAUCUAUCGAGUACU